Sapajus apella (tufted capuchin) is the source of this 687-nucleotide long non-coding RNA. RefSeq lists it as uncharacterized. The record is from RefSeq and is a predicted model, not a curated record. The transcript has 4 exons. NCBI's taxonomy places the organism in Eukaryota, Metazoa, Chordata, Mammalia, Primates, Cebidae.
UGCUGUUGCAACUUUGGCCCUUGCUGCCCCAUUGGCGCCUGCUGCUGUUUUAAGAGCAUCAGAACCCAUCGGCCAACCUCCAGGGAAGCACCCCUCUCCCUGCUUGCUUGGGGCCGAAAAUCCCGACCCUCAUGUUUUUAAAGAGAAUUGGGAUCCUAUGUGAAUAAGGUGGGAAAACUGGAAAGAUUGAAUGUCCUUUGGAGUUCACAAAGGUUUGGCAGUGGGAUGAGAAAAACAAAACGAAGCAUAGUGGGAGUGUUGAAAAGACUUUCCCAAGAUCCCCAGGAGUCUAUGAUGCUGCUCAAACCAAUAACUAUACUGCAAGAAAUGACAACUUCAUCUCUCAGAAAACCACAGAUCAGAUGCAGAAAAGUAAUCCUUGGAUAAAUUAUAUCAUGGGAGAUACAUAGCUCAGCUACAAAGUCCAGUGAGGCAACAGACCGAAACAGAAAGAGUCAUGGGAAAACUUGAUGCUGAAAUUAGAAUUCCUAGCAUUGACUGUUACUUCUGUGGGUGUUGGAGCUGAUGCCUCUUGGAUUAACAGAGCUUAUUUACUUAAAAUGUACUUUCAGCUCUGGGGUACAUCGCACAUCCUGCAGGGUUGCUGCAUAUGUACUCAAAUGCCAUGGUGGUUUGCAGUCUCCUUCCACCAGUCACCUACAUCAGGCAUUUCUCCCAGUGUUUUCC